This 1061-nucleotide long non-coding RNA is filed under the name Apteryx rowi (Okarito brown kiwi). Its description in RNAcentral is "lncRNA (ENSARWG00000008166.1)". Lineage: Eukaryota; Metazoa; Chordata; Aves; Apterygiformes; Apterygidae. The record is from RNAcentral.
UAAGAGAAAUCGAUGUCUGUAACGCUUGUAACCAUUUUCAUCAUCUGACUAUUCCAGUGUCCUUCAGCAGCUCUGUCAACCUGUGUCACCUAGGAGGAGAGUAGAUGGGAUUUCAGUGUGAAACAUGGAAAAGGACAGGAAAGCAGGAUCAAGGAAAAACAGCAAUUUCUGCAGAAAAGAUACCGGGGAGUGGUUUGAAAAAACAUUUUACCUGACCAGUCAUUUCUACGUUGAAGAACGUGCGUUGUGAGGCGAUUCAUAAGUGACCGGUGCAGCUGUCAAACUUCCACUGGUCAGCACUGCCCUGUAGGCAAAAAUUUCUUCAUAUUACGCAGCCAGUAUAAUCAGGUAAGCGUGAAGGUUCCAGGUUGUGUUGAGUACAUUUGAGAAAAAUAGCAGGAUGCCAGCUGAAACACCGGGCUGGCUGUUGAUUAAAACAGAAACACCUAUAGGUGUCUUUGCCAACAUGUAUUUCAGAAAGCAAAGACAACUGAAGUAGGAUAGCUGUUGGGGAAGAUAAACUUGACUUAGUAGGUAUGYUGAAAUGAUGGGAUCCUGAAAAUCAAUAGGAUACUCUAUUACCCAGGUUUAAGCUUUAUUGGGAAGACAAAUUAGGCUGUAAGGGUAAUUGAGUUGCUCUGUGCCCACAAAUAUACAUUAAGUUAGCAUUUCUGAAGUAUAGAACUGAGAGUGAAUUAAUGAAAUUGAAAGGCAACGUGUUUAAAAUCCAUAUAAGAAGGGGGGUUUUUUUGUUUUUUUUUUAAAGUAUAUGGCAUGAUGGAAUUGUGAAAUUCACUGCUACAAGAUAACAUUGAAGUCAAAAGCCUUAAAGAAUUUGUAGGAGAAUUAAAGAUAGAUGUGGUUAAUGAGACCAUCUAGUGGUACACUUAACAGGAUGAAGAAAAUGCAAAAAAUGCAAACCUGCCACUGACUUGCGGGAGUUGGAAGAAACUUCCACCAAAGAAUUGGAUUAUCCUUUGUGAGGUUUCCUGCAACAACCUCUAAAGCAUCUGGUUCCUUCCACCUUCAGGCCAUUUCUACCCUUAUACUUCUGAGAGUAC